UACAGAGGUCCCAAGCGUUGUUCGGAUUCACUGGGCGUAAAGGGCGCGUAGGUGGCCGGGAAAGUUCGAUGUGAAAGCUCUGAGCUCAACUCAGAAAUGGCAUUGAAUACUAUUCGGCUGGAGGGUUGGAGGGGGGACUGGAAUUCUCGGUGUAGCAGUGAAAUGCGUAGAUAUCAAGUGGAACACCAGUGGCGAAGGCGAGUCUCUGGACAUUUCCUGACGCUGAGGCACGAAAGCCAGGGGAGCAAACGGG
This 253-nucleotide ribosomal RNA is filed under the name uncultured bacterium. RNAcentral describes it as "partial 16S ribosomal RNA". It matches the Rfam family "Bacterial small subunit ribosomal RNA", at positions 524 to 776 of the family's 1533-position model. The record is from RNAcentral.